RNAcentral lists this microRNA precursor (615 nucleotides) under Eugenia uniflora (Surinam cherry). Its description in RNAcentral is "miR167b stem-loop (eun-MIR167b)". Its record names the gene eun-MIR167b. Lineage: Eukaryota; Viridiplantae; Streptophyta; Magnoliopsida; Myrtales; Myrtaceae. The record is from miRBase by way of RNAcentral.
GAGAGGUUGAAGCUGCCAGCAUGAUCUGGUAAUUAACUGAUAAUUCGAAACCUGUUUCUCGUUUUUGUUCCAUCAAUUUAGUCUUUCCAUUUGAAAUUAUACUUGCAAAGUCUGGAUUUCUAAGAUAAUCUGUCGAUGGAUAGCUUGCAUGUUUUUCGGUUGAUUUGGUGAAGUUUGCACAAGUCCUUGCUUUAAGGGUCGGUAAGAUUCGAAUCAUAACGACUCAUUUCGAUCCGAUUUAGUGAACUCGAUUCACACAGUCUAUUACGCAUAACAAAGGUAUGGCUAACUUGGUGUAAAAAGAUUUUAACUUUGGUUGAAUCAAGCAAAGAUGAACAUAUAGCAUCCUAGGCGUCGCGAUGCAAUCACAUCACAUCUCAAACGGGUUUUUACAUACUCCCAAGCUUCCAUAGUUUUGGUUUUUUCAAAAAUACAUCAGAAUGCAUAUCAUGUGUGUUCUUUAAAGUUUCAAGGGUUUCGAUUUUGACUCACCCAAACAUACUUUUUACCUAGCAAGCUAGGUCAAGAAACUUCUCCCAAAAUUAGCCACAUUAAGAUGAAUUAUAGGGCGUCAUAUCAGCCUUAUCAGGUCAUCUUGCAGCUUCAAUCACUCAU